RNAcentral lists this ribosomal RNA (301 nucleotides) under uncultured bacterium. RNAcentral's name for it is "partial 16S ribosomal RNA". It matches the Rfam family "Bacterial small subunit ribosomal RNA", at positions 509 to 807 of the family's 1533-position model. The record is from RNAcentral.
CAGUCGCCGCGGUAAUACAGAGGGUGCGAGCGUUAAUCGGAUUUACUGGGCGUAAAGCGUGCGUAGGCGGCUUCUUAAGUCGGAUGUGAAAUCCCUGAGCUUAACUUAGGAAUUGCAUUCGAUACUGGUUAGCUAGAGUGUGGGAGAGGAUGGUAGAAUUCCAGGUGUAGCGGUGAAAUGCGUAGAGAUCUGGAGGAAUACCGAUGGCGAAGGCAGCCAUCUGGCCUAACACUGACGCUGAGGUACGAAAGCAUGGGGAGCAAACAGGAUUAGAUACCCCAGUAGUCCCUGUCUCUUAUAC